This 464-nucleotide ribosomal RNA is filed under the name Streptococcus thermophilus. Its description in RNAcentral is "bacterial SSU rRNA". It matches the Rfam family "Bacterial small subunit ribosomal RNA", at positions 339 to 793 of the family's 1533-position model. Lineage: Bacteria; Bacillati; Bacillota; Bacilli; Lactobacillales; Streptococcaceae. The record is from RNAcentral.
CUACGGGGAAGCAGCAGUAGGGAAUCUUCGGCAAUGGGGGCAACCCUGACCGAGCACGCCGCGUGAGUGAAGAAGGUUUUCGGAUCGUAAAGCUCUGUUGUAAGUCAAGAACGGGUGUGAGAGUGGAAAAUUCACACUGUGACGGUAGCUUACCAGAAAGGGACGGCUAACUACGUGCCAGCAGCCGCGGUAAUACGUAGGUCCCGAGCGUUGUCCGGAUUUAUUGGGCGUAAAGCGAGCGCAGGCGGUUUGAUAAGUCUGAAGUUAAAGGCUGUGGCUCAACCAUAGUUCGCUUUGGAAACUGUCAAACUUGAGUGCAGAAGGGGAGAGUGGAAUUCCAUGUGUAGCGGUGAAAUGCGUAGAUAUAUGGAGGAACACCGGUGGCGAAAGCGGCUCUCUGGUCUGUAACUGACGCUGAGGCUCGAAAGCGUGGGGAGCGAACAGGAUUAGAUACCCUGGGGUAG